Physeter macrocephalus (sperm whale) is the source of this 10196-nucleotide RNA transcript. RefSeq lists it as uncharacterized. The transcript is spliced from 2 exons. The record is from RefSeq and is a predicted model, not a curated record. Lineage: Eukaryota; Metazoa; Chordata; Mammalia; Artiodactyla; Physeteridae.
CUUAGUUGUAAGAAUAGAUAUCCUUUCCCACGUUAUCAUUUUAGGUAAGAGCUAACAGCUUCCAUUGAUGCUUGAAGCAGUGAUCUUUGGAGAUUUUUUAAAAAUAGCAACAUAAUGCAAAUUAGGUUAUGUAAGCUUUAUAGCACAGCUAGAAAUAGGGAUUAGAAACCAUGUGGGACUCUGGGCCAGAGUAUAUUUCUCUCCCUCCAGCAAAUUCCUGUGGGGCCUGGGAAUUAGAUUCUGAGUUAAUACACAGAGCGCUUUGAAUAGUACCUGGUACAGAGUACGUGCUCAGUAAAUGCUGACCGUUCUUACCAUGGUUGGCUGAGGUGACAAAAUACAUGCGGGAGGCUGGGCUGUGCUGGCAGGUAGUGGAGACGCAGGUGCAUGGCCUGCUCGGGGGGGGGGGCGGGGCGGGCGGGAGGCAAGCGGCAUGGGUUCUUUAGUGUAGACAGGUUUGGGAUACUCCAGGCUUUGGGAGAGGACUCCUAGCAUCUUCAGGUCAGACAGGAGAUACAAAGCAAACACUGGGUGAGACCUGGUGUGGGAGGCUGCUGCAGAUUCGUGCUGGAUGAAGAUGUUCAUGUUUCUGUGUGGUAGUUAAUCAUCGGGCAGUCUGUUGCCAGGGGUUCAUAAUACUUGCUUUGCGAUUUAGGCGUGCUUGGAACUUCAAAGGGGCUGAGCUUAUCAACCUGCUGUUUCUAAGUUUCCUGCCAGUGCAUUAGUAAGAAAAGAGUGUGUGUUUGAUUACAGCUAGCCCCAGAAUCUGACAUUCAGAGCUCACCAUUUAUUUGGCAGGUAGAAAGCAAGUUACUGUAAACCACAGAAAAGAAAGAGACCAGGUGGCAUGCUUAGGAGGCUGUUGACUAGGAUGCUUCUCUCUUCCAGUUUGCUGCAACACUUUGGUUAAAAAAAAUCUGGGGCUUCCCUGGUGGCGCAGUGGUUGAGAGUCCGCCUGCCGAUGCAGGGGACACGGGUUCGUGCCCCGGUCCAGGAAGAUCCCACAGGCCGCGGAGCGGCUGGGCCCGUGAGCCAUGGUCGCUGAGCCUGUGCGUCCGGAGCCUGUACUCCGCAAUGGGAGAGGCCACAACAGUGAGAGGCCCGCGUACCGCAAAAAAAAAAAAAAAAAAAAAAAAAAAUCUGUACUUAACACCACUCGAGGCCUCCCUCUUGCCUGUUAAUCUUAGAAAAAAACAUACCUGUCUAUCCAUCCCUCUCUCUCUGUCCAUCUACCCAUUUAUCUAUCUGGACACAGUUGGGAAGUUGCUUUUCAGCAGAAAGAAAAAUGAGUAGAUGGUUGGUCUGAAUAAAGGGUGAGCAUCUUCCUGUCCGUCUCUGGCUCGCACGUGUCUACAUGGACCUCCAGAACCUCUGGAGAAAAGUGUGCAGCCGCAUUCCUCUCUGCUGGUAGACGUGAGCUGAAUGGGGAAUAGAGAUCGAGUUCUGUGAUGCUCUAAGGUUAUAAAAACUGUGUAGACAGGACUGAGUGUUACUUUUAAAGGCAAAUAAGGUAGAUUUGCAUUAUAGUCAAGAGGCUUUUCUUCAAUCCAGGAGAUAUUUGUGUCAGCGAUGUCCUGGCAGAAGUGACCCCAUUCCUCAGCUGUAGCCAUCUGGGUGGAAUCCUUGCCUCAGUAACGAACACUGAGGGAAGGCCUCGGGUGUUCGUUUGUUUUGCUUUGAUCAGUCAGUUGUUAACACCCUAAUUACUUGGUCCUUCUAAGGAGGGUCUUAGGGUCUUUCUUGGCAGAACUUUGCUAUUUCUGCAAACAAACUAUGCUGUCUCUGCCGGUGGGUAGUGUGGAGAUUGCCACCAUCUGCCCAGGCAGUUUGAGUCAGAUUAGCAUAUCCUAGCUGGAGAUGUGGUCCUGAGUCAUCUUUUUGCUGUUUUUGGCCCCCAGGAGGUAAGGGGAUUAGCCUGCUGCAGUGAGGGCAUUCUCUUUGCGCUGCCUAGGAGCCUUGUCUCUCUGCUUUGUUUCGGUUUCUCCUACCUUGAUCCUUCUGUGUGGUUUGGAAGAACAGUCUCUGCAUUCACAUGUCAGCUGAAUGUCCCAGGUAGUGUAGUUAACAGUGGCCCUCAGUUUAGGUCAUUUUGGGCUGUGGGCAGCAGUGGAUGGAAGAAAGGAGAGCGGGAAGAAAGUUGCUAAAAUUGGCACCUUGUGUGUGCCAGGCACUUGGACAUUUUUCUUAUUUCUCAGCCUUCUUGAAGGUGGUAUUAUUCUUAUUUUACAGAUGAAAAAACUGAGGCUCAGAGUUAAGUGCUAGAGUCAAGAAUGAAAUCCAGCUCUGUUCAGUGCCAGAGCCUUUUUCUGCUGUACCAUGCUAUGGAUUAAAAGUCUGGAAAGAAGGUGAAGAAGCACAUCGGGGGACAGGAAGGUGGUGUGUGGGCAGUGAGGCAAGGCCGAAUGGAGCCUAAAAAGGGCCUGAACACAAGCCAGGGGCCUCACUGUCACAGGAUCUUUGGAGCUCACCGACUCAAACCAAUCCCAGGCUCCUGUGCUAGAAUCUCGGCUUUGACUUGAGGUCAUUUUAGACCAGAUAUCCUGGCCUAAAAUAGGGCUGUUUUCUUUUAGAGCAGUUGGAAAAGAUUAACAAACUGGAAAGAGACUGGGGGGCUGAGGUGUGGCUGUAUAAACAGAGGAAGCUUUUGUAUUUGAAGCUUGUUUUUCUGUUUGAAUAUCAAUGAGAAAUUGAGGUGUGCGUUUUCAUUUAGCUAAUGCUUUCUGAGUACAGGCUAUCUGGCCUGAGAUUGGUGAUGGGGGGAUGUCUUAAAAGAUUUGAGCCAGACUCUGAAGGAGAGCUGGUGAGGCUGGGCUCAUUGGGUCAAAGGAAGAGGGGUGGUCCAGGGUUGGGGUGUGAGUGCAGAGAGGGGGCCCUGGGCAAGUGUUGAGCAGAGAUGGGGGUGAGGGGCAGAUUGCAGUGGCCUGUUCUGCUUGCCAGGAGUGUCCCCUGGACUCGGCUUCACGGAAGGCUGUGGUCCCCUCACCAGCUCCUCUGCAGAUUAGUGCUGGCUGGGUCUCUGCUUAGGGUUAGGUGGGCGUGGAGGUGGAUGCAGAAUCCUCUUCAGGGAAAGAUAGAUAUUCUUCCCUAACCCCAAGUCAUCACCAGCCUUGGCAGUUGCCGUUUUUGAGCCACCUGCCAUAAUCCUGGAGCGGAACAGGAAGAAGGGAACCUCUUGUAAACCCUGGUUGUAGUUCUUGAGCCGCGGCUUGUGGAGGGAAUGGCACCUCGUGUGUAGCGCGCCAGCAGAGCUCUCUCCGGGCCAUGACUGUGCCCCCUGCCCUGAUGGUCCCACUCAGAGAAGCCGCAGCGCAGGGGUGGUUGUUCCCACUGCACAGACAAGAAAAUUGAAGCCAAGAGGCCUCUGCAAACCACCAGGUUAUUUGUUGGUAAAACACUGUGGCUCUUGAUAAGUGAGUUUUUAAUCACACAGAAGAAAUGGCAUUUCUCCUGCUUUUAGAGUUAACAGAAGCCCUUUCUUAGGGAUGAGAUUUGAGCUCCACCACAACUGUGGGAUCUAGAAAUUUUCUCCUUUUACAGAUGAGGAAAUAGAGGCUUAGACAAGAUGACUUGCCCAAAAUUACACAGCUAGUUAGUGGCCAAGCCCACCCAUUCUGCUGGCGCUGUGCUCACCACUGGUGGUUGGUGUUGACAGUCUAGGCUGCUGCCUAUCCUGUUUUCUAAAACCGUUUGGCAAGUUUCCUCUCCUCUUUACGAGGCAUUCGUUCUACUUACCUUUCUUCCAGACUUCUGGGAUGUGUCCUGUGUGGUUUGAGACAAAACACGCAGAAAGCCACCUCUCUCUCCCUGACCCCCCUCUUCUUCCCCUCCCCCCGUGGGAAAAAAGAAACCAGACUUCGGGCUCAUUCUUCUCUGGCUAACCUGGCUCCUGGGCAAGGUUACUGACUGGCCAGCCUUGGGCCAGGUGGCCUGUUUGUUGUUUUCUUUGCCAGCUGCACAGUUGGGUCUGUUUCCACAGACCAUCUUUUUGUGCUGUAACUGAACCCUGUAAUAAAAGUGCAAACCAGUAACUGCCAUCGGAGAGAUCCCCAGGCAUUGUAUGGAAGGAAGGGAUGUGCUGUUGGGAGUGUGCUUUUCCACCGAGCUUCAUCCAUGUUUUGGUUGUCAGCUGUCAUGUUUCUGGCUAGGCCUUCCUCGUGUGCUCCAACCAAAGGGGUCACCCUCACAGUCGCCUUCCCAGAGCGCUGGUGCCAGGGUCUCACUGGGCCCUUCCAUGCUGUAGACGGUCUCAGAAGAUGCUCAGCUCUCUGACAUCCUUCAGGCCCUUGGAGGCUGCAUUAUGGGAGGUAUGGCAGCCAUCAUCCUGGAGGGGAUCACUCCUUCCACAUCAUCUGGAAGGUGGCACCUGAGGAAUUCAGGAAAGCUGAAAGCACCUCAAGAUGGGAUAGGUUGAGGCUGCUGAAGGACAGACCUGGAGAGAUCAUGGACCUUUCCAUCAGCUGAUUUAAAGGGUUGUAUUUACUUGUCGUAUGUGGUUCCAGAAGGGGAAAGAUAGUUAUGGUAAAGCCAGUUGGGCAGUUUGAGCUAAAGUAAGUGUGCCUCUCAUGAGGUGUGGUGAGAAGUGGGCCCCAUGUUACCAGGAGUGCUUAGGCAGGUAGCCAGCUGUUUGGAUACCACAGAGGAAGGUCUUCCAUGGGGUGUCAGUUUGCACAGAAUGCUGAUGUGGUUGGUGACACUGUCAAGACCGCUUCUCCCCUCCUGGGCACAUGGAUUUAUUGGCAACAUUCACUGUCACCUCCUACUACUAACCAGGCUGUGCUGGGGGAGAAGGAGCACUUGAGGAAAGCGUCAGGAUUUUCAGCCUAGAAGGUGAAACCCCUGACCAAGAAGGAGCCCAGGAAGGGGGAGGGGACUGCUCGGGGCCUUGAACAGAACGAGAGCCAUCUUCUGUGCUUGGGAGGAGGGCUCCCACUCAGUCCAGGAGCGGAGCCAGGCCUCUGAAGAGACUUAAGAGCUGCGUGACUUAGAGAGUGAGAGGGGCUCCAGUAGAUGUGGCCAUGGCUUCCGCAGAGCCUGGCAUCCAGCUGGCUGGGAGGUCUCAAGGAGGGGCGCCUGGUGUGCGCAGAAGGGCAUGGCUUCUCAGGACAGCGUGGAGGUGAUUGUUAAUGGGAACCUGGGAACUGGGAUGGUUAGGACGGUGAAGUAGCAGAUGGCAUGUGUAGUUUGGGGCCACUCCGUGAAAGGCCUUGGGUGCCGUGCCCUGCAGUGCUUACCAUCUUCCAGAACGGUGAGAGAAUUCUGGAGGAUCAGUUUGGACAGCUGGAUGGGGAAGGACCAAAGGAAGGAGUCAGAGGCUGUUGCAGAUGCCUGGCUGAAGGACGAAGGAGGCUGGCUGAGGGCGUCGGAGGCAGGAAUGGCAUCUCUUCAUAGUCCAGGCUCCUUGCCUGGGCCCAGCAGGAGGUUAUGGGGCCAGGGAACCACAGGAACCCCACGUGCAGCCGGGGAACUGGGGGCCGCUGUUCAGUAGGUGCCUGGGACCAAGACAGGAAAGGGGGGUGGUGGCGGGGAGAGGCGUUGCAGUGUAGCAAGGCCCAUCUCCACUGGCCGGGAAGCGGGGACUCGGUGGGCCCGACAUUCUCAUGGGUGCAGGGGCUCCGAGCCCCCUUCUUGUGCUCUCUGGGAAGCGUCCCCUUUGGCAAAGGACAGAGAGGUUUAUGGGCCGGUCAGUCAGCAUCUUAGCCUUUCCCUGCGUUUCUGCUCUGCUGAGUUUGCCAGUCAAAGGGAGUGGCAGGUACUGGAUGUUCGUUGGUACAGAGGCUUCUGCUUUUAAAAAAAAAAGUAAUGUUUUGGCUUCUUUACCUGGGCAAGGGUUGGAGUUCAUUGGAUUCAACGUUUGUAGAGCAGGGUCUUCAGCUGGGGGAAGGUACACACUUGCUCCACAGAGCACUAUAGGGAAGGGGAAAGGCGAAAUUGUAAGAUUGCUAGAGAAUUUGCUUUGGGCCUCAGUUUUGUGUCUGUCCUGCCACCUCUGGCUCGUUCUGCACAGGUGGGCAGGGAGACCCGAGGAGGAGUCGGGGUGGGUUUCUGCACUUCUGUGUUUCUAUACCUCUGUUGGGGACGGGGGCUAAAAAGGCAGUGGUGGUUUUGAGCCUUUAGGUCAGAGCUCUGAAAGGUUAGGGUUUACUGAGACACUGAUUGCAUCAGCCUUUGGGGUGACCAGGUGUCUCUAACUACCAGUGGCCUUGUUUGUUUAGCCCAGUGGGCCACAGAAAAAUCACCUUUUUGUGUGUCACAGUGUGGAAAUCGAUGGGAACGCUGCCUUAGGCCUGGUGUCGAAAAACUUUCUGGAAAGGUCCAGGGAGUAAUUCUUUCAGGCUUGUGGCCCAUUCGCUCUGUCACAGCUACUCAGCUCUGCCGUUCCAGCAGCACCCGCGCAGCCAGAGGCAGAGUGUAGACAUACAGCCGUGGCUGCAGGCCACACUUCGCCAAUCCCUGCCUUGGACUGUGGCGGUUACUCCCCCUCUGGCUUAAUCAUGACUGGAACCUUCCUCCCGUCUGCUGCCUGGACCCAUCUAUCUUCCCACGAAGGCUUCCUGCGCAUCUGUUAGGUGUGCAGCUCUUGCCCAGAAGGACCUCAGAUUUUGAGUGAGAGGUGGGACCUUUCGGGGGAGCGGGUGCUGCAGAGCGAAAUACAGAACGGGGCUCAGGGAGAGAAGGCGGAGGGUGAACCCGGAGAGCCUGAGGAGGGAGGGAGGGAGGCAGCUCCGGAGAGGAGGACGGCUGGGGCCCAGCCUGUGAAUAAAGGGCGCUGGGGAGCCAGUGGGAGGUUGUGCUCAGGAAGGUGAAGUGGUCACAGAUGCACUUUAGAAAGAGCCUCUGGUUGGGGAAGACCACGUUUGUGGUUACAAGUAAUAUCUUUCAGUUUAGUCUGGACUCUUUCGCCCAGAGUCUGGUUACUGUUGGUACCCGAGUGGGAAGGAGAGACCCCCGAGUUGGGUAGCUUUCCUGGCCGCUGGCUGUAGGGGGCCAGUGAGUGGCACAGUUUUUGACACGGCAGGCCUUGACAUGGUCUGCCGCCUUCGGGCUUCUUCUCUCUCACUAUCCAGAGAUAGCUUAAACGGCAAGACAAACGAAACGCUGUCUCAUGUCUAAUUUUGGAUUGGGGCCUUGGUGUAUGAGGGUGAAAAAUGCUAGGGAUGGGCUUCCCCUCGCUUCAGAAUGGAGUUAACCUGGCGCAAAAGCCUUAUGGAGCUGGUGCCUGUAAACCGAGGCAAGGUGCACAGUCCGGAGCAGGUGCUGCUCAGGUGCAUCCCAGACGCUCUAGGCCAGGACUGAUGUCGGGCUGGGGGAGACUGCAGAUCGGACACGGCGCCUGCCCCGAGGUGCUCCACACGUAGUUGGGGCAAGGAAAAAAACUCUAUAUAGUGCUUUCUACUCUCCACAGUAUUUUCCCUCAGAGAUGUUUCUAGGCAGGUGAAGGGAACCGCUGUUGACUGAGCACCGUGAGGUGAGGUUCCAGGGGCGCGAGCUGCCAGCGUUCUCCCUUGACGUGGACAGAAGUCUGCAGGGGUGCUGGCUUCACGAGCCCACGAAGAGGCCUGCGCAGAUGCCGUUUCCUUGAAACCCGCACGGGCCCGUAGGAGUGGGUGAGGAUCACGCGCGGCGCAGAGGAGGGAAGGCACUUGCCCGAGGCCCCGCGGUGGGGGGGUGGCGGUGCUGGCCCCAGGGGGGCCCUCCCCGCACGGCUCCGGCAGCGCUGCACCGUGGACCGGUUUCGUGUGGCUGUGGAUCCUCUGGGGACCGAGCCAGCAGGUGAGGGCUUUGGUGCUGCCCUGAGCCGUUAGGCAGAUGUGGGCAGGGCCUCAGGCAGGUGGGUGUUGGGCUGCCUGAGGGCACUGCUGCUGCCUGCUCUGAGGGCACGGCUUGUCAUCGCCGAGGUCCGGUGAGGGAUGUGGAAGGAAGAGUCGCGGAGAAGCCACAGCUCCGGGGCACGCGGGCUGCUGCCGUGGGGCUCCUCAGGCCCCGGGGGGCGGUGCUCUCAGCAUGGCAGCGGGUGCGUAACUUCUCAUCUCUAAGGAGUACGGCCUGGGUCUUCCAGAGGUGUUUCUGGGGUCCUGGAACGGCAAAGACAGAGGCAAGCCUGGCCCAGCCGGAUGUGCCUCCAGCUGUGGUCUUUCAUCGGGCAGCUCGGCCUGCGCUGCGGCUCUGGCCUCACAGGGAGGCUUGUGUCUGGGGCACCCUAGACCCUCGUGGAGCUCGAGCCCGGCCCCUGCCCCAUCCUGGCCCACGACCAUAAGCUACAUGCCAUCUGUCUCAUUUUCCUGCUUGGGGAAACAGAUGAUGGUCUGAAAGUUCUCUUUUUGAUUCUAACCUAAAUAUUUCUGCUGUUCUGGGAAGACUUUUUAAAAUUUUUGUUCAUGAAGAUGAACCACGGAUAAGGAUAGGAAUUUAGACAGAUAGCCAAGAAGACUGUCUUCUCCACUUGUAGUUCCUAAUCAAGAAAGCUGCACCUUCGGUGCCCAGCCUCUUCCCCCGCUCCCUUCCGGCCAGCGUGAGCUCCUCCCCUCACAGACACCCUCGGGCUUAAGUUGCGGUUAAGCUGAAGCUCCUUUCCUUUCCUUGACGUGUCCGUGUUGCUCUGUGAGCCUCCUCGGCUCUCCCCUCACCGGCUCCCUCGGCUGCGGCCCUGACGCCCAGGUCGUGAUGAUGGCCCACACGAGGCAUGGUGUGGAGUUUAGUCAGGUUCCUGAAAUACCUCUUCUCUCACCUGCCAGGCCGGCAGUGCUGGUGUUUGAUGCAUCCCUUUCCCUGACCACGCGGUGUCUCCUGCUCAGGCCAGUCCUGUGCGGUCAGGUGGGGUUCACACUGCACCCCUACUUUGCAGAGGGGACACUGAGCGCCGCCUGUCCCCUCGUUCACUCACUUACUGUGGUGGCUUCUCAGACAACAGGCAUCCUCAAGGCUCCUGACCAGGGGCCUUACUUCCCGCAUCUCCCGGGAAUCAAGGGCGGCUCUGCCUGUCUUGUGAGCUGUCGUGAGCUGUUGCCAACCUCCACGCGGACUUCCUUUCCCAGGGGCUUGAGGCAGCAAAGGGAAUGCUCGGUCAAGGUGGGACUCCUCCUUUGCCUCUGGGCAGACUUCAUUUACUUCAGCUCUUAGCAGUGUUGAUCCUCUUUUCCCCAAAGUAUCUGUCAACUCAGGCCUCUGACUAGGGACCGUCUGGCCUGUUGUACUGAACCUCUGGUCUAAGUGGCUGGUUGGGGCCCAGUCACACCUUCAGGAAAAGGCAGGUCUCCUGAGGGAGCCCUAAUCAGGGCCAGGGCACUUCCAGGGACAGUGAGGCAGGAGGGCCAGGGAAGGGGCUGGCCUGGGGCCCGGCUCUGCCUGUUAAGCCCCACAGCGCAGGCACCCGGAUCUCCCUGCCGCGUAGGAUUCCAGGAGAGCGGCCUCUGAGACUCGCUUCUCACCCAUUCCGAGCGCAGAACUCACUGUCUGGGAAGGAGACAGGAGGCAGCCAGUCUAGACCUGAAGCCCUGAGCUGUUCAAGAAGGGGCCUCCCUCACAAAGGAGGCAGGGGUCCUGCUCAGUCGUAGCCCUUCCUUGGCCCCAGGAUGGGGGGUUCAGGAGACAAGGAGAAGGCUGCGUGUAGUUGUGGGUAGAAAACCUUUCCCGGUUUACUGCACAGUUACACACGUGACAUUGGACUCCUGGCUAUAUACAGCUUGCUCGCUCUCCGGUCUGGUAACGGCCAAGGUAGUUUUUAAGAAAUCUAUUUAAAAUACCUAUCUGUAUCUAUUUACUGUGUUUUUUUCUGAAUACACAAGUGUACAUAGUAUAAUUACAGUGCAGAGUCCCUGGCAAUAACUUCAUGUUGGGUAUUAUGUUAAAAAAAAAAACACUGAAGAAUGCGACCACCCUGGAUUGUCCUCCCUCCCUGGGGCAGUGAUUACACGUAGGACUCCGAACUUUCAGCCUGCGGCGUGGUUGAAGCGGCAGCCUGCACGUGUGGACUCUCACCAGUGCCUCGCCCACAGACGCCUGGCCUUCACCCAAAGGGACUCUGCACCCCGACUCCCACAGGCAGCACCCGCGCUGCGGCUCCUGCGCACUGAUUGUGUCGGACUCUGCCGUAGACUGACCCUCUUGUCUGGCUGCUGCAGCUUGUCUGUAACGCCCUGACAUGUUGCAUUUUCCCCAUUUGGAUGAAUAAAAAUAAAAGCUUCUGUCUUCAACAGCAA